AUCAUGUAUGCUUUUCUAAUUAUAAUGGGGGUGGGGGAUGAGAGUAAGGUAAAUAGUCUUUCACUCGGCCACACACCGGAAUUUACUUUGAGGAAACUAAAGUGUUCAUAGCAAAUAAGUGUUUGAAUACUACAGCAUGGAAUAACAAAAUAGGACUUUGGUAUUGUUUUGUUGGAGUAGAGAAACCAAAGUAAAGAUGAAUAGGGACAGUUGGGGGCAUUGGAAUUUGAUAGUCAGAGGUGAAAUUCAUGGAUUUAUCAAAGACCAACAAAGGCGAAAGCAUUUGCCAAGGAUGUUUUCAUUGAUCAAGAACGAAAGUCAGGGGAUCGAAGACGAUUAGAUACCGUCGUAGUCUUGACCGUAAACGAUGCCGACUUGGGGGGAGGUGCGAGAUGAGAAGCGCAUCACAACCAAAGGAGAAAUCAAAGUGUAUGGGUUCUGGGGGGAGUAUAGUCGCAAGGCCGAAACUUGAAGGAAUUGACGGAAGGGCACCACCAGGAGUGGAGCCUGCGGCUUAAUUUGACUCAACACGGGAAAACUUACCAGGUCCGGACAUGAUGAGGAUUGACAGAUUGAGAGCACUUUUAAGAUUUCAUGGGAGGUGGUGCAUGGCCGUUCUUAGUUGGUGGAGUGAUUUGUCAGGUUAAUUCCGAUAACGAGCGAGACCCCGUCAGGGUGAUGGAGAGUUGAAGAUGAGUCUUUAAUGUCUUACCUCCCUGGCACACCCCA
Molecule: ribosomal RNA, 729 nt
Filed under: uncultured eukaryote
Lineage: Eukaryota
Description: bacterial SSU rRNA
Rfam family: Eukaryotic small subunit ribosomal RNA
Source: RNAcentral